Molecule: long non-coding RNA, 1324 nt
Filed under: Macaca fascicularis (crab-eating macaque)
Lineage: Eukaryota; Metazoa; Chordata; Mammalia; Primates; Cercopithecidae
Description: lncRNA (ENSMFAG00000051757.1)
Source: RNAcentral
GGUUUGCUAGAGUCCCUGCAGGAGAGGAUGUUAUUUGAUUUGGGCAGGAAAUGGUGUUCAAUUCCCUGGCCUCUUCAUUGUUUGACUUUGCAGAUUUUUUCCCCCCAAACUCCAUGGUUCAAGGAAAAAGGAAGGUGAAGCCCAUGGACAACUGCAACAUGAGACACAGCUGGCUGGGCAGCUCUGCCAGCCCCCACUCAGCUGCCGGGAUGCAGUCCUCAGGGCAAGGGAGGCAGCCAACCCCUGGCGUGACAUUUUCAGCCGUGCAGCUGUGGGCCCUGGCACGUUGCUGCUGGAGCUUGGUGGUUGCCUUCCAGCCCCUGAAUAGCUUUUGAUUAGGAUGGGAUGCCUAGCAGAUGAGUCAGAUUUAAACCACACUGCAUGUGGUUAGUAGCUGCCAUUUUUUUUUUUUUUUUUUAAUCACUGUCAUAUUGCCGGGGAUUACAACACCCCAGGAGAUGUCUUAAUUUAUUUGGUCCCUAACCUUUAAGAUGACAAUCACGUUUUGUGAGCUUUUGAUGCUUUUCUUUUAACAGUCACAAUUCUCCCCAGACCCAUACCUUUAAUUCCUUUCUGGAAUUAGAUGGACCAUGGAUACCAUCAGUUCUGGGACUGAUUGUACUGUAAUUAGAGUCCAAGAAAUGUUUGGAGCUGACUUUUACACCCUAUUCUUCUUAUGAUACUGGAAGUUGGUGUGCUCUGGAUCAGAGAGGGAAUUUCAAAGCAGAAACAACUAAUAAAACUGACCUGGAGUGGUGGGGGAGAUGGAUACCGGGCAUGCAACAGAAAGGUGGUAGAAUAUGGGGCCUCCUAAAGUGUGAUUCCACUCAUGGCCACCAGGUCAAUGAGUCCUGAAAUUUUGCCAACAGAAAAUAAUUCUUCUGACUUAAGUGUGUUUUAUUGGCAAGCCAAGUUUUCCUGGAAGGGAUUGCCAAUUUGUCUCUUUUCAGACAUGAAUGCCUAAAUGUGCAUGAGUUUAUCAGGUCACUUCCUGAGGUUAGAUUUUGUUGGAGAGCUCAAAAAGUGAAAGAAAGGGCUGGGUACAUGCCUGUAAUCCCAGCACUUUGGGAGGCCGAGGUGGGUGGAUCACCUGAGGUCAGGAGUUCGAGACCAGCCUGGCCAACAUAGUAAAACUCCAACACUACUGAAAAUACAAAAAUUAACCGGGCAUGAUGGCAGGCACCCGUAAAAGCAGCUACUCGGGAGGCUGAGAUAGGGAGAAUUGCUUGAACCCAGGAGGCAGAGGUUGCAGUGAGCCGAGAUCAUGCCAUUGCACUCCAGCCUAGAUGACAGAGCGAGACUCAGUCUCAAAAAAAAAAAAAAA